Molecule: non-coding RNA, 329 nt
Organism: Pelobates cultripes (western spadefoot toad)
Lineage: Eukaryota; Metazoa; Chordata; Amphibia; Anura; Pelobatidae
Source: the annotation of a GenBank genome assembly
GUCACACCGUCCCUCACUCUGUCACUAGAGUGAGGGGGUGACUAGUGACAGAGUGAGGGGGUGACAAGUGACAGAGUGAGGGAAGGGGUGACUAGUGGCAGAGUGAGGGAAGGAAGGGGUGACUAGUGACAGAGUGAGGGGAUGACUGGUGACAGAGAGGGAGGUGGUGACUGUCACUAGUCACCCCAUCCCUCCCUCUGUCACUAGUCACUCCCUCCCUAACUCUGUCACUAGUCACCCCCUCCCUCUGUCAUUGUGUCACCCCAUCCCUCCCUCUGUCACUGUAUCACUCCAUCCCUCCCUCUGUCACUAGUCACUCACUCUAGUGA